AUUGAACGCUGGCGGAAUGCUUUACACAUGCAAGUCGAACGGCAGCACGGGGGCAACCCUGGUGGCGAGUGGCGAACGGGUGAGUAAUACAUCGGAACGUGCCCAGUCGUGGGGGAUAACGUAGCGAAAGUUACGCUAAUACCGCAUACGAUCUACGGAUGAAAGCGGGGGACCGUAAGGCCUCGAGCGAUUGGAGCGGCCGAUGUCAGAUAAGGUAGGUGGUGAGGUAAAGGCUCACCAAGGCGACGAACUGCAGCUGUUCUGAGAGGACGACCAGCCACACUGGGACUGAGACACGGCCCAGACUCCUACGGGAGGCAGCAGUGGGGAAUUUUGGACAAUGGGCGCAAGCCUGAUCCAGCCAUUCCGCGUGAAGGACGAAGGCCUUCGGGUUGUAAACUGCUUUUGUACGGAACGAAAAGGCUCUGGUUAAUACCUGGGGCUCAUGACGGUACCGUAAGAAUAAGCACCGGCUAACUACGUGCCAGCCGCCGCGGUAA
This 500-nucleotide ribosomal RNA is filed under the name uncultured bacterium. Its description in RNAcentral is "partial 16S ribosomal RNA". It matches the Rfam family "Bacterial small subunit ribosomal RNA", at positions 29 to 523 of the family's 1533-position model. The record is from RNAcentral.